Molecule: long non-coding RNA, 533 nt
Organism: Oncorhynchus tshawytscha (Chinook salmon)
Lineage: Eukaryota; Metazoa; Chordata; Actinopteri; Salmoniformes; Salmonidae
Source: Ensembl
UCGACACACACACACACACACACACACACACACACACACACACACACACACACACACACACACACACACACACACACACACACACACACACACUACUUAGCUCUGCAUGAGCUGCAGCCCACUCCUUUGCAUUCCAGUGCACUCAGCCUUAUCAAAUAUUUACUGUUGAGUUAUGGCUGCUACCCGCUCUGCAAGGUAACAGACAGGGAAGGCUGAUGUUUAUGGCUGCUACCCGCUCUGCAAGGAACGGACAGGGAAGGCUGAUGCUGAUGUUUAGGGCUGCUACCUGCUCUGCAAGGUAACAGACAGGGAAGGCUGAUGUUUAUGGCUGCUACCCGCUCUGCAAGGGAACGGACAGGGAAGGCUGAUGUUUAGGGCUGCUACCCGCUCUGCAAGGGAACGGACAGGGAAGGGGAAGGCUGAUGUUUAGGGCUGCUACCUGCUCUGCAAGGUAACGGACAGGGAAGGCUGAUGUUUAGGGCUGCUACCCGCUCUGCAAGGAACGGACAGGGAAGGGGAAGGCUGAUGUUUAG